GACGAACGCUGGCGGCGUGCUUAACACAUGCAAGUCGAACGGUGACCCAGGGCUUGCCCUGGUGAUCAGUGGCGAACGGUGAGUAACACGUGGGCAACCUGCCCCUGACUUCGGGAUAACUCCUCGAAAGAGGAGCUAAUACCGGAUACGACCACUUCGGACAUCCGAUGGUGGUGGAAAGUUUUUCGGUCAGGGAUGGGCCCGCGGCCUAUCAGCUAGUUGGUGGGGUAAUGGCCUACCAAGGCGACGACGGGUAGCCGGCCUGAGAGGGCGACCGGCCACACUGGGACUGAGACACGGCCCAGACUCCUACGGGAGGCAGCAGUGGGGAAUAUUGCGCAAUGGGCGAAAGCCUGACGCAGCGACGCCGCGUGAGGGAUGAAGGCCUUCGGGUUGUAAACCUCUUUCAGCAGGGACGAAGCGAAAGUGACGGUACCUGCAGAAGAAGACACCGGCUAACUACGUGCCAGCAGCCGCGGUAAU
This 483-nucleotide ribosomal RNA is filed under the name uncultured bacterium. RNAcentral's name for it is "bacterial SSU rRNA". It matches the Rfam family "Bacterial small subunit ribosomal RNA", at positions 28 to 524 of the family's 1533-position model. The record is from RNAcentral.